AUAGGAAAUCAGUUGGAUGAAAAGGAGACCACUAUCAAUAUUCAAUACAACAAGUCAACAACCCAAGAAUUGCAAGUAAGAAUCCUAUGGGCAAUAUUCCAAAACCACAACAAUAACACUCACUAAACAAAUCCACAGAAAAACCGAAUCCUCAUCCAUAUCCAUUCCCCCAUUUAACUACUCCCGCCCCCUAUAAAUAAUAAAACCCACACUUUUACAUCAAUCACACCAAAUUAAUUGAGAGAGAAUGACGGAUGUAGCGAUGUUAAUGGCGGAAGAAUACGAGAAGAUGAUGAUGAUGAAGAAGAUGUCGAGUGAUCAUGAAGAUCUGGAGUUGCUUCCUUUAUCUACUGUGGGUUCUGGAGUAUGGUGGAUGAAGAAGAAGCCUCGUAUGAAUAAAUUGGUUCAUGAGCCUAAAUCGAAGAUCGGGAUUGCAACUAUUAAUGGUUUCUUCUCUGCUUGAUACUUGAAAAUUGAAAUUAAUCUGUGUAGGGUUAGUGUAAAUGUUUGUGAAGUUUCUUUUUCUUGUGUAUAGGAUGCGAUGUCUUUUGUUUUUGAUUUUUUUCUAUAUGCAGUUGAACUCUAUAUGAUUUGUAAUGAUCAAGCGGUUUUGAAUCGAAGUUCAUGUAUUCAGUUGAAUCGAUUUUAUGAUCCUUGCUUCAAGACUCGAUUUAGUAAAUUUAUAAACCAGGUUGAAAGUGAGGUCUUAACAUGGCAGCCGGUGACCGGAGGGGGGGUAGGGGGAGGCUGACGGCGGUUAUGGGAGGUGAUGUGGUGGUGGAAAUCUAGGACGAGGCUUUGGGAGUGACUUAAGGGGAGGGUGUCUGCUUUGGUGAGAGGACCGGAGGGACCAAAUAGGAAAAAUGUCAUAUGAGGGCAUAAAGGUCAUUAUACUAAGAGUUAAAUGAUGAAAAUAAACUAUAAUUUACUCUAAAAA
This is a non-coding RNA of Lactuca sativa (garden lettuce), 937 nucleotides long. Lineage: Eukaryota; Viridiplantae; Streptophyta; Magnoliopsida; Asterales; Asteraceae. The record is from RefSeq and is a predicted model, not a curated record.